This 253-nucleotide ribosomal RNA is filed under the name uncultured bacterium. Its description in RNAcentral is "partial 16S ribosomal RNA". It matches the Rfam family "Bacterial small subunit ribosomal RNA", at positions 524 to 776 of the family's 1533-position model. The record is from RNAcentral.
GACGUAGGGCGCGAGCGUUGUCCGGAUUUAUUGGGCGUAAAGAGCUCGUAGGCGGCUUGUCGCGUCGUCCGUGAAAACCUGCAGCUCAACUGCAGGCUUGCGGUCGAUACGGGCAGGCUAGAGUUCGGUAGGGGAGACUGGAAUUUCUGGUGUAGCGGUGAAAUGCGCAGAUAUCAGGAAGAACGCCAAUGGCGAAAGCAGCUUUCUGGGACGGUACUGACGCUGAGACGCGAAAGCGUGGGGAGCGAACAGG